GUCGGGAUAGCUCAGUUGGUAGAGCAGAGG
This 30-nucleotide non-coding RNA is filed under the name Mus musculus (house mouse). The record is from RNAcentral. RNAcentral also lists the same sequence under 12 other names. Lineage: Eukaryota; Metazoa; Chordata; Mammalia; Rodentia; Muridae.